This is a long non-coding RNA of Nyctereutes procyonoides (raccoon dog), 819 nucleotides long. RefSeq lists it as uncharacterized. NCBI's taxonomy places the organism in Eukaryota, Metazoa, Chordata, Mammalia, Carnivora, Canidae. The record is from RefSeq and is a predicted model, not a curated record. The transcript is spliced from 3 exons.
GGAAAGGCUCUUGUUCUUGGGUGGGAAAAGACAACACAGUGCUUUCUCAAGAUCUCAAGCUCCAUACCCAGCAUGCAGCCCGAUGCGGGGCUUGAACUCAUAACCGUGAGAUGGAGGGAGACCUGAACAAGAUCAAGAGUUCUGACGCUUAACCAACUGAGUCACUCAGGCAUCCCAAAGAUAAAAGCAUGUUUCCAGUACCAUCCUAAAUAAACUUAUUGAUGAAAACAGAACUAAGGAGCAACACAGGGACUAAAAUUGACAUAUCCUGAUUUUUACAACCAGUGUGUUUUCUAUUAUCCCACAGAUGCCAACACUUGAAAAUGGUAUUUUAGGAAAGUGAGUAUGAUAUGCGGAAUGGAUUGGAUGAGGCAAGAAACCAGAAGCAAGAAGAGAACAACAGCUAUUGCUGUAAUCACUCCAAAACACCCACAAGUUACAAGAUACCACUAUUCUUUGAAGAAAUGCUAAUAACAUGGUAUCUGGAUUUUAUCAAUGGAACCUAAAAUCAAAAGUUAAAAUGGGUACUGAAAAUACAAACACAUUGUGUAAGCAUACACAGAAGUGUGUACACAAUGAAAGGGGAAAAGCAGUUCUGCUCCUCUAAGAGACAAAUCCCUUGGACCAUUUGAAGAAUCCACCUGGGGAUCCCUGGGUUGCUCAGCGUUUUGGCGCCUGCUUUCGGCCUGGGGCGUGAUCCUUGAGUCCCGGGUCGAGUCCCGUGUUGGGCUCCCUGCAUGAAGCCUGCUUCUCCCUCUGCCUGUGUCUCUGCGUCUCUCUCGCGCUCUCUCUCUCUCUCUCACGAAUAGAUAAAUAAAA